Molecule: ribosomal RNA, 465 nt
Filed under: uncultured bacterium
Lineage: Bacteria
Description: partial 16S ribosomal RNA
Rfam family: Bacterial small subunit ribosomal RNA
Source: RNAcentral
GACGAACGCUGGCGGCGUGCUUAACACAUGCAAGUCGAACGGAAAGGCCCUGCUUGCAGGGUACUCGAGUGGCGAACGGGUGAGUAACACGUGGGUGAUCCGCCCUGCACUUCGUGAUAAGCCUGGGAAACUGGGUCUAUUACCGGAUAGCAGCCAUGUCUUGCGUGAUGGUUGGAAAGUUUUUUCGGCGUUGGGUGAGCUCGCGGGCUAUUGGCUUGUUGGUGGGGUGAUGGCCUACCAAGGCGGCGACGGGUCGCCGGACUGAGAGGGUGGGCGGCGACAUUGGGACUGAGAUGCGGCCCAGACUCCUACGGGAGGCAGAAGGGGGGAAUAUUGCACAAGGGGCACCAGCCUGAUGAAGCGGCGCUGCGUGGGGGAUGACGGCCUUCGGGUUAUAAAAACCUUGCGCUAGGGACGAAGCUUUUUGUGACGGUACCUAGAUAAGAAGCACCGGCUAACUACGUG